CAAAUUCAACCCAUCACAUAGGCCCUCCCCGAGGCCACCUCUGCGUCAUCUUUGUCUACAGAUUCUGGGAUUGUCUUCCUCUCCUGAUUGACUGCAUGAAGGGGAUUUCUGGUGGGGGAAGGGUAGCAGCUCUUGCCACACAUGCAGAGAGAGAGGAACUUCCAGUGCCCGCUAUGGAGCCACAGCCCACAGCAUGGGGAGGGCCCCGUCCAGUGGCAGUGCUGCAACUAGAGGUAGCUCCAGAGUCCUCCGGGCCCUGCACCGAUACAGCCAAAGACCAGCAAAGCGACGAGCUGCCAGACCUCAUGCCACCUGCCGUAGCCACUGGCCUGAGCCCUGGAGCUGAGAGCGUCGCUGGAGAUAGAUGUGGCAGAGAAGAGGUUAUGAGCAUGGCCCCAGCCAGCAGCUCCCACGCUGCCCCUAGUCCUGGGCAUGGAGCGAGCCUUGGUUUCGGAGACCAGGGUGUGCAGUCAGAGCUCCUCUACCUUACUAAAGAGAGGCCUCUUUUAUUUACCAGAGCCACAGCCAUGCUGCAUCAGGACCUUUUCAUUCUGCCAGUGCUGGGGCUGUCUAUCUGCAAGCUGGAGGUGUUGAGAGCAGGAAAAGGAGGCUGUGAGGAAGGGUUCCAGCAGCUCCUCCUGCUCUCAGAG
Molecule: small RNA, 650 nt
Filed under: Pongo abelii (Sumatran orangutan)
Lineage: Eukaryota; Metazoa; Chordata; Mammalia; Primates; Hominidae
Description: processed transcript
Source: RNAcentral